RNAcentral lists this ribosomal RNA (495 nucleotides) under uncultured bacterium. RNAcentral describes it as "partial 16S ribosomal RNA". It matches the Rfam family "Bacterial small subunit ribosomal RNA", at positions 28 to 507 of the family's 1533-position model. The record is from RNAcentral.
GAUGAACGCUGGCGGCGUGCCUAAUACAUGCAAGUAGAACGCUGAAGGAGGAGCUUGCUCUUCUGGAUGAGUUGCGAACGGGUGAGUAACGCGUAGGUAACCUGCCUGGUAGCGGGGGAUAACUAUUGGAAACGAUAGCUAAUACCGCAUGACAUCAGUUAUUGCAUGAUAACUGUUUAAAAGGGGCAACUGCUCCACUACCAGAUGGACCUGCGUUGUAUUAGCUAGUUGGUGAGGUAACGGCUCACCAAGGCGACGAUACAUAGCCGACCUGAGAGGGUGAUCGGCCACACUGGGACUGAGACACGGCCCAGACUCCUACGGGAGGCAGCAGUAGGGAAUCUUCGGCAAUAGACGGAAGGCUGACCGAGCAACGCCGCGUGAGUGAAGAAGGUUGUCGGAUCGUAAAGCUCUGUUGUAAGAGAAGAACGAGUGGGAGAGUGGAAAGUUCACACUGUGACGGUAUCUUACCAGAAAGGGACGGCUAACUACGUG